AGUGAACGCUGGCGGCAGGCCUAACACAUGCAAGUCGAGCGGCAGCGGGUUCCCGCGAGGGGAUGCCGGCGAGCGGCGGACGGGUGAGGAACACAUCGGAAUCUGCCUGGUUGUGGGGGAUAACGUAGGGAAACUUACGCUAAUACCGCAUGCGACCCUGAGUCGACGGACUGGGGGUGAAAGUGAGGGACCUUCGGGCCUCACGCGACCAGAUGAGCCGAUGUCGGAUUAGCUAGUUGGCGGGGUAACGGCCCGCCAAGGCGACGAUCCGUAGCUGGUCUGAGAGGAUGAUCAGCCACACUGGGACUGAGACACGGCCCAGACUCCUACGGGAGGCAGCAGUGGGGGAAUCUUGGACAAUGGGCGCAAGCCUGAUCC
RNAcentral lists this ribosomal RNA (378 nucleotides) under uncultured bacterium. RNAcentral describes it as "bacterial SSU rRNA". It matches the Rfam family "Bacterial small subunit ribosomal RNA", at positions 30 to 389 of the family's 1533-position model. The record is from RNAcentral.